Molecule: non-coding RNA, 192 nt
Organism: Sapajus apella (tufted capuchin)
Lineage: Eukaryota; Metazoa; Chordata; Mammalia; Primates; Cebidae
Source: RefSeq, a predicted model, not a curated record
AAGCUUUACAAAUUGAGGCAAUACAACUCUUCUGAGUUCUUCUUAAAAACAAGCAAACAAGUCACUGUUGUCACAGUGGUAAUGACAGGGCUAUGUCAUUAUCUAUCCACCAACAGUAAGAGAAGCUUUGCAGUCAAGAUAUUGUUUAGCUGAUGGAGUGUUUUCUGCUGGACACUAAGUACUGCUACAAGU